Long non-coding RNA from Suricata suricatta (meerkat), 455 nucleotides. RefSeq lists it as uncharacterized. The transcript has 4 exons. NCBI's taxonomy places the organism in Eukaryota, Metazoa, Chordata, Mammalia, Carnivora, Herpestidae. The record is from RefSeq and is a predicted model, not a curated record.
CGUUGGUGCACGGAGUUCUUACUGACCUACAGCAGAAUGGCCGCUCGGUCGGUCGCCACCUUAAGGUGACUCUUACAGUCAUAAACAAGAGAAGAUAGGACCCGCUAGCCUUAUAAGGAAAUUCCCGUCUCCUGGCCAAUCAAGCUGUUUCCUGGUCACGUCUUCCACUGGCUCUUGCUCAAAUAUCCCGCUGCAAGCGCUCCACUGCUGAAUAGGAAGUUUUCAGACACAGAAAGAUUCAUUAUUGUCCGAGGCUACAUGGAAAGGGAGAAUGGAGAAUGAUCCUAAGAGUUCAAACUUUCUUUUGAAGAUGAUGAAAAUAUUCUACAAGAAGAAUAUGGUGAUACUGCACAACCCUCUAAAAGGACCUCGAAGGAAACAAGAAACUCUUGUACUCCAAUAACCUAUACUGGAUGUUUAUGGCAGCUUUAUUUACAGUUACUCUCAAUUGGAAA